This 1501-nucleotide long non-coding RNA is filed under the name Mus musculus (house mouse). RNAcentral describes it as "predicted gene, 47815". The record is from RNAcentral. Lineage: Eukaryota; Metazoa; Chordata; Mammalia; Rodentia; Muridae.
GAGUCACAGUGGGCAGACGGUUGCUGAAGUGGCUGGAGCUGAGCCUCCUCUUAAAUCAGGAAGCACUCCCUAGAGAUGACAAGAGCUCCCAGUUGCCAGCUGACAAGCACUGUGGUACCUGCCAUCUCUGAAGCCAGAAUCACAGCCCAGACUCCAGGAAGCAGUGCCAAGGUUUGACAUCAGCAGCAAAGCAUGAAGGGCCAGCUGGAGGAGCACCCGUGUUCCCAGGAACGAAUGAUAACAGAGCAGAGUGUGUGGUGUUGGGCCUGUCCCAGGAAUUCCAGAAGCCCUCAAGACUGAGCUGUGACAGGAACUCCCGUGCUAGUGGCUGGGAUAGAGAUGCAAGAUGGAGAUUGAGGAAGGGAUCGCCUGAAUCUGGAGUCUGACUGAAGCAUCUCACCACAUGAGAACCAAGAAGGCCAACGCAGUGACAUUUGCUUAAGGCUUUUCUCCUUUGCUGGCUGCAACCUACAGUGUCCAGGAGACUGUCACAGGAAGCCCCAUGAACAUCAAAAGGACAUGUCUCAACCUUCCUAUGCAACCUUAGUAACUCCUAGUUUCAUCUUAUCAGAUUGUAAACCCAUCUAGGCACCCUAUAAUCUCAAUUAGCUAAAAGGGGAGCAGAGGGAGAGGGGGAGGAGAGGGUCCUCUAGCAAUAAUUUAAACAGUGAAAUCCUAAAAGCUUCUAGAAUUCUACAGUCACCACCAGACAUGUAAAUGCUACUCUUAUCAGAGAUGCCUGAAUCCCGCUCUCAUGAAAGCCUCCUCUUUCCCUGAGCACUUUCUAUUUUUAAUAGACUCCAACUCUACCUCAUACUACUUUGUCCAAAACUUCUUCCCUGUAGUGUGGCCAAGGACCUGGUUUUACCUGAAUCAGGUCCCUAAAAUGCUAAGGAGACUACUCAAGCUACUGUGGGCAACAGGGUGGUGCUGUGCCUCUGUCCCUGUCACCACUCACAGUAGAAAGCAGCAGGAGGAGCAAGAGACUGUGCACCCUAUGUUCCAACCCCUUAGGCAUCUCCUGUCAGCUCUGUGGCCCUACCAUGGGGCGGCAGACAGGACCCCUGGUCUUUAAUAUCCUUGUGGAAAUGUCAAUCCUCCUUUGAUUUUUUUUCUAUUCCUAUGGGCACAUUUACAAAAAAAAGCUGUUAUAAUAACAUAUUAAAACAAAGGGAGGUCAGUCUUCCACUAGAAGCCUUUGGAUGAAGACAUAGAACUCUCAACUCUGCCUGUGCCAUGACAGCCUGGAUGCUGCCAUGCUCCCACCUUGAUGAUAAUGGACUGAACCUCUGAACCUGUAAGCCAGCCCCAAUUAAAUGUUGGUUUUUAUAAGACUUUCCUUGGUCAUGGUUUCUGUUCACAGCAGUAAAACCCUAACUAAGACAGAAGUUGGUACCAGGAGUGGGGUAUUGCUGUGAUAGGCCUGACCAUGCUUUUACUUGAAAGAAUGUGGAUUUUUGGACUUUGGAUUUGGAACUCAGUGGAAUGCUUUAAAUGGGGC